CAACUUUGGUUUUGAUUCAAAGGUUAUCCUUUCCAGCGACGAGAGACCAUAUCCAAACAACUGUUGUACACUACUUGGCAGUAUCAUAGAUCGUAGUCUUUUACAUGAAUUUACAGUGAGAGAAUCAAGAUUAGUAAGAGUUUUGAUAGAUUCUGGAAGGGCUUCAAUUGGAUUUUCAUCCAAAUACAAAUUCCUUAGCAAGGAUAACUGACUCAAGUCCUUGGGAAAAGAAUUUUCGGAAAGGUUACGGUUUCUAAUGUCUAAAGUUACUAAAGAGCGUGGUAAAGAUAGGUUGAUGGUUUCAGGAUUUCUUUUGGGUUUAAACAUCCAUGACCAAACAAUGAAAUUCCAUGGUUUGACCUCUCUAGACGAACUUAGUGACGUGUUCAUGAUAGUUCCUUCAUCUUGAAACUCGGCAAGAUUUGAGCAACCAGAGAUUACAAGUGUUUCGAGAGAUCCUAGCAACUGAAUAUUUCUUGGAAGCUUCUCAAGUUUUUUGCAGCCUUCUAGAUCCAGUACAACAAGUCUUUCAAGGUUGCAAAUUGAGUCACAAAUGUCAACCAAACUCACGCAACCUUUUAGAAUUAAUCUCUCAAGAUUGCGGAGCCCAAAAAAGUUAAGUAUUUUACCAAGCCUAUGAGAAUGACUGAGGUCGAGGAUUUGAAGUGAUCGAAGAUCCUGUUUUAAAAACAAGUAAUGGGUGGUUAAUUCUAAACAUAUGAUCAAACGCUAGCUAAAAAAUGUUAAUAGGAAUAGAAGAUGUCAUACCAUAGUUCUCUCCCAAACUUGUUCCAACAUGCUACAACGUAGGUCGAGAGCAACCAGAUUCGACAAAGGUAAGUUUGUGGGUAUAUAGUACAAAGGGAAUCCAUGCCAAGAUAACCAUGCUAAAUUUCUGGGAAAAUGCUCAUAACUUCCAGUGAAUUGUACAUACUUGAGCCGAAGUAGUCUUAGACAUUUCAUCCUUUCAAAGGCUUUGAUUGACAGUUCAUCUCCAUUUGGACCUCUUAGACGUUUUAACGGCCUUGACAAGAAGCUAAAAUACGGUUUUACUGGUGAAGUGACCUUGUUGAACCCCAAUGAAUUAGGAUGAUUAGAACUAAAGGAUGACUUCACAGAGUAGUCUUUCUUGAACAUAUGCAUGUCAAGGGCAAGUCCUUCAAUUGAUUCUGUAGCCUAAGAGACAAUGAAAUGAAAGAAAAAGUGAAACAAAUAAAGAAAAGUUAAUUAUGAGCAUGUGAGAUCAAAUAAGUAUAAAAUGCACAUGAUAAGUAUUAUUUUUACCUCAUUUCUUUUCAUCACAUUAAAAGAAUCCUCAUGAUGCCAGAGUCUACUACGCUUUCCAGGAUCAUUAGGUGAUUCUUGGCAAACUAUUUCUCUUCCCAUAUCUUGAACCAGUUGAUUCAUUUCCAGCUUCCCUAUGUCAGUAAUUAUUAAGAGACUUUUUUCAAUGAGAUUUUGCAUUCCAACUUCUGUGGAAUAACCACACUUAUCCAAUAUAGUAACUAUAUAAAUUUUGUCCUCUCCGACAAAGAAACAAGCGAUGUGCAGAAAUAAAUUUUUGUCAUGGUCAUCUUGCAAUAAAUCAUAGCUGAUUUUUAGUAUCUCUAGGAUUUCAGCAUUUAGAAUUGCUUCCAAUUUCUGUAAUGCACUUUCCCAUACAUUUAUACUUUUUCCAGUUAGAGAGCACCCCAAAACUUUAAGGGCCAGUGGAAGCCCUCCACAUCGUUGUACGACCCUUACUGCUGUGUGGCUGUAACCUUCCAAGGGAUGGUCUUGUCCAAAAGCAUGCCAACUGAAAAGCUCCAAGGAUUCAUCAUCAUCCAAUAUUUCAACCUCAUGCAACUUAUGAAUUUUGCGAGCCUUUAACAACCACUUGUUCCUAGUUGUUAUGAUGAUCUUACUUCCACGAUAUAAAUCUUGUGUUCCAAUAAGUACAUCUAAUUGGUUCACAUCAUCAACAUCGUCUAGAACAAUGAAAACUCUAUUACUGCCUAAGGCAUCUUCAAUCUUAGUAGUCCCCUCAUAGUUAUUGUAGAUCUUUUCUAUUUGUCCCUUUAGAAUUCUUGAAAGAAGUUGUGUUUGUAAAUUAAGUAAACCAUUUAGUUGGUUACAAGUCUCUCUAAUAUUUGCAAGGAAGCAACUUCUUUCAAAUAUGUGAUGGUUUAAAUUAUAAACAAAUAUGGCAGCAGUUGUCUUACCCAUUCCACCGAUACCAAAAAUUACUAGCAUGUUAACAUCAGCUGAUCCAUCAUUUAGCCAGAGAUUAAUACUUUUGGUUCGAGAAUGUAAUCCGACAUGGAAUUUGGAAAUUUUCAAGGCUGGGCGAUUUACUUUUACAGUGACUACUUUAAUAAUUUCCUAGAUGAACUUUGACUCAUGCCUGAAAAUAGAAUUGAAAAACAAAAGUAAUUCAGAUGAAGAAAAUUGUUGAAUGUAUACUAAGUUUGUCAAUGUUCUCAUGGAAUUAUCAAAUCAAAAAAAGGAAAUACAGGGUAGUUGAAACCUUAUGGAAAGGCAUAGGAAAUCGAAAGAGUAUAUUAAAUUGCAAAAUCUCUGUCACUAGGUUAAUAAAUUCCGGUUUGAUAAGCUUUUCUAUAGUUAAAAAAAUCAUAUAUGUGCUAGUAUUCAUGUAUUUCUUCUAAAUAUUUUCAGAAAAAUAAUAUCAAGUAGCCUACAAGUAUAAUUUAAAUUAACCAACCAAUUUAGCUGUACCUCAUGUUAGAUGUUCGCUUAUAAAAUUUUCGUUUACUAGAAGGUUUUUAUUUUGUUCAAAUUUAUGUACUCCAGGUCGAGUAAGACAAUCAUUGGAAAGUCAAUCCCUUCUGCUACAAGAGGUGUUUGGAGAAGAAUAUGCUAUAAAAUGAAUAUGUUCAACGCUGUGUAUUUUUUCACAAUGGAAAGCAAAAAAUGGAAAAUUUAUGGAUUUUGUCAAUGUUGAAUGUGUAAUCUAAACUAAAUGAUGCAACUAAGAGGAACUAUAUUUUCAGAUUAACAAGAGAUGUUCGGAGCACACUCUAAACCAGUUGCUUUAACCAUCAUUAUGCUUCUUUGUAAUACAGUUUUCUUUGGUACAGAUUUUUUUUAUGAGUACAUGAAAUCAAGAAAACAGAAAGCUACACAAGUCACUUUCAGAUGCUAAUUAAUUGUUAACAGUAAAGCAAAGUUUGAAGUCCUUUCUUCUUGUACUACUGAUGCUGUGAUGUGAAGCAAUUAGAUUAUGGUGGUAAUUUGGGAUAACAAACAAAGUCCUGUUCUUCCUGUACAAAGCAUUCCGAAAAGAAAAAAUAGUAAAUGACGCUGAUUAAUAUAUAAGAGCAUUGGGUAACUUACCCAUCAGCUUGGUUUUGUAAGACCAUACCACUCAAGUCUGCAACUUCUUUCAAUGCUGCCCUCCAACCAUUUACCCUGUCCAUCCAUUCCUUUUUACUUUCAUCAUCAUUUUUCUCCAUCAAAUUCUCUUCGUACCUAUCAAAUGCUUUCUUGAUGCUUCCUAUUUGGUACCUAACAUCGGAUGGUUCCACGUGAUAGAAGACUGGAACAAAUAGAUGCCCAGAUAUCUUCUUGCAUUCAAGUAUCAUUAACAGCUCAUCCAGGCACCAUUUGGAAGAUGCAUAUCCCAAAAUCUAUAAGAAUUAGAUAAUGGGAUAUAAGAUUACAAAUAUGUUUGCUGCAUACAAAAGAAAUCAUUUUUUUCUUCAUGUAUCACUCUACUGCUGCAAUUGCUUUCUACAACUGAUGCUACUAUUUUUUUAUUAAUGCUACUAAACUCAUCCUACAACUGUUGCUGAAUGUAUCUCAUUGCCUCAUUAACUCUUCUCUUUAUGCACCUGGCUUCUAUUUGUUCUAUUUGUUCCUAGUUAAUACCGAGGCCGUAUUUAAGAAUAUAUAAUUACCCUUAAAAGUUGUCGUCGUCGUAUUUAAAAUAUAUCUCUAAUUUUGGAACGAAAUGAGUAGUACUUUUUAGAUAGUUUAUAAUAUUCAUCAUUUGACUAAAUUAAAUGAAUAUAUGUCAAAUUUUGAGUUUGAAAAUGUUUAAAUCAACUUCGAAAGUAGGGAUCCUAUAUAUUGGAAAGAUAGGAGAAUCAUUUUUAUUCAAACAUGUAUAAAUGGUUAAUGAUAACAAGCUAUCAUACUAGCUAAUAUAAGGCUUAUGAAGAUUCUCAUAAUUGAUGUAAUAUAGUCUCAUUUUUAUGGUUCAAAUCUUGAAAAUUGGUGCAGCUGCACAUGUGCAAACAUAAAGUGAAUAGAAAACAACAAAUAGGGAAAUAGUUUUUCAAAUUUAAACUUUGCAAGGAGAGACUAAUAUAAAGAGAAAGAGUGUCAUGAAAUGAAAACCUUCACAUCUCUAUUACCACGGUUUAUUUCUCAGUAAGAAUGUCACGUCCUGUCCUGUCCUGUCCAAUUCCAAUUAUCUAACUCUGCCACCAUACGGGUUAGGAAUUUUUUAGCCCAAAGAAUAUUUAUUUAAGUAAAAAAUUUAGUUAAAAAAACACACCUUCAAUUUUAACAUUAUCUCCGAAUACUCUCCGUGUCAAAUCGUUUGGGCAAUCUAACCCUACAUACGGUAUGUGGGCGAGGAAGUAGGCUCCUGUGCUCAGCUGAAAUUUUGUCAAGUCUCCACCAAUGACUUCAUCAUUCUCUAUCUCAUCAAUAUUUUCAGGCACAUUACCUUCUAUCUCACCAUACACCAGAUUGAUACCAAUCUCCUCUACCAGGAAAUCCUCUCCAAUGAAUACAGUAACAGUGACUUCAUCCCCACCCUCCAACUGAUUACCAAACUUCCAAUGGCUUAGCCAUAAAAAAUCUUCACCGUCUUCAUCUUCUCGAGUUCCGAAGUAAAUAGGAAGGUAUAUCCAAGUUAGAUUCUUGGUUUUGUUAUGGAUUUUUGUAAAUGAUGGAUAUGUAUCCCAAUAGGAAUAUUGUCCAUGAACAGCGCAUACAUUCAAUCCUCGGAUCCUCCAAUUAUUUGGAAGUGAAGGCACAGUGAACGAGGACGAUAACCUCCAAUUUUCAUCAGUGAACCAACUAGGAAACUCGCUCACAGGAAUAAACGUACUAAAUAUGCCAAAUUCAUGUAAUCCCUGUAUCACAAUAACCAUAAUGUCAAAAAUUAAUUCCAUAAAAGAUGAUAAGAGAGAAGAAAGAAAAACAAAAAACACCUGGAUGGGGCGCUUUAUUCCCAUAACAUUAUGUUUAUUAUAGAGUAUUACUUCAAGGUCUCUCGGUGAUUCUACAUUGAUCAGACCCAAAUCGUUUAUUAUAUCACUAUCAACGGCUCCAAUAGGUUCUAACCGGAAGAAUCCUUGCACUUCACUUAAGCCUGAGUCAUGCGACAAGUAUUGUACACUACUCGGCAGACCUAUCAUAGAUCGUAGUCUUUUACAUGACUUUGCGGAGAGAAACCCAAGAUUAGUAAGAGUUUUGACAUAUUCUGGAAGGGCUUCAAUCGGAUUUUCAUCCAAAUACAAUACCCUUAGCAAGGAUAACUGACUCAAGUCCUUAGGAAAAGAAUUUUCAGAAAGAUUGCAGUUUCCAAGGUUUAAACUUACCAAAGAGAGUGGUAAAGAAAGAUUGAUGGUUUCAAGAUUUAUUUUGGGUUUAAACAACCAUGACCAAACAAUGACAUUCCAUGGUUUGACCUCUCUAAACGAACUUAGUGAGGUGUUCAUGAUAGUUCCUUCAUCUGGAAACUUAGUAAGAUUUGAGCAACCAGAGAUUACAAGUGUUUCGAGAGAUCCUAGAAACUGAAUAUUUUUUGGAAGCUUCUCAAGUUUUUUGCAGUCUUCUAGAUCCAGUACAACAAGUUUUUCGAGGUUGCAAAUUGAGUCACAAAUGUCAACCAAACUCACGCAACCUUUUA
Molecule: long non-coding RNA, 5863 nt
Filed under: Panax ginseng (ginseng)
Lineage: Eukaryota; Viridiplantae; Streptophyta; Magnoliopsida; Apiales; Araliaceae
Description: long non-coding RNA (PGIN_LNC018333)
Source: RNAcentral